AGCUGUCCCCGGGCUGCCUGGGAGUCACUGGGGAGUCCUAGCCCGCCCUUGGGCCUAGGGCUCCCUGAUGCGGCCUCCACUCUUCGCAGGGCCAGGGGGCGAGGAAGGAGGAGGGAGGGAAGAGGGAAGCUGGGGAGUGGGAGAGCGUCCUCCACGACCGCUUGGGUCCUCCGCGGGGCAGCCUCGGGGAGGGUGGCUGCAGGGCCCGGAGUCGCCUGGAUCGCAGCGCCAUCUCGUGGCUGCUGGCAGGUCUGCCUUGGGCCCUCUUGGCACAAGGCAAGGAAACAGGAGCUCUUCCCAUCAGUGACAGCCCAGGAGAAUGCUCCAGUGUCACCAGUGACUCCUGCUCCCACAUCUGCCUACAGGAAGCCCUCUUGGAACAAAAGCAUCUCACUUCUGGGAGGCAUCAAGUAUGUGCAUCACCAGCAGGACAGACUUGCAGCGCCUAUUCUGAGUGAAAAAGAGAAUCUUUUGGUGCUACCCUCAACCAACCUCAUCCUUUCUCCACUUGGAUUCUUCUCAACAUUGACCCUCUUGAAAAGAUCAUAAAAACUCACUUUAAGGUGUAUAUGAGGAGUUUUGUCUCCCAGGAAGGUUUGCAUUGUAUCUGUAAUGGUGGAGUCUCAGGCAUUGACUUCCCAGGUGAAGGAAGGGUGAUUUUGGGAUGGGGGGGCCUUCCUGAAA
This 684-nucleotide long non-coding RNA is filed under the name Homo sapiens (human). Its description in RNAcentral is "non-protein coding lnc-BATF3-2:11". Lineage: Eukaryota; Metazoa; Chordata; Mammalia; Primates; Hominidae. The record is from RNAcentral.